RNAcentral lists this ribosomal RNA (495 nucleotides) under uncultured bacterium. RNAcentral describes it as "partial 16S ribosomal RNA". It matches the Rfam family "Bacterial small subunit ribosomal RNA", at positions 30 to 507 of the family's 1533-position model. The record is from RNAcentral.
UGAACGCUGGCGGCGUGCCUACUACAUGCAAGUCGAGCGAACAGACGAGGAGCUUGCUCCUCUGACGUUAGCGGCGGACGGGUGAGUAACACGUGGAUAACCUACCUAUAAGACUGGGAUAACUUCGGGAAACCGGAGCUAAUACCGGAUAAUAUAUUGAACCGCAUGGUUCAAUAGUGAAAGACGGUUUUGCUGUCACUUAUAGAUGGAUCCGCGCCGCAUUAGCUAGUUGGUAAGGUAACGGCUUACCAAGGCGACGAUGCGUAGCCGACCUGAGAGGGUGAUCGGCCACACUGGAACUGAGACACAGUCCAGACUCCUACGGGAGGCAGCAGUAGGGAAUCUUCCGCAAUGGGCGAAAGCCUGACGGAGCAACGCCGCGUGAGUGAUGAAGGUCUUCGGAUCGUAAAACUCUGUUAUUAGGGAAGAACAAAUGUGUAAGUAACUAUGCACGUCUUGACGGUACCUAAUCAGAAAGCCACGGCUAACUACGUG